AAGUGGUUCAUCCCAGAUCAUAAGGUGGCUCUGGGGCGUGCUGGCUGUCUACGUGGCCAUUUGGGCCCACUUGUCAGGUGCCAACGUGGAACUUUUUUGCAAAUAACCCCUGCGUCCUCGCGUCUUCUCCCUCGACCGCCGUUGUACCGUCCUCGUCUCACUGCUCCGCCUACUCGCCUGCUCCCCUUCCCUUGUUCUUGUCCCCUGUCGAGUCCCUCCCCUUCUCAUUUCUCUCCUCCACUUUCCUCUCCCUCUCCAUUCUCUCUUCUACCCGAAGCCCUCUUCCCUCUCUCGUUUCUCCUCCUCAAAAAGCUAUGCCACCGCCUAUGUUUCUUCCCAGCGAGCUCAAUCGCAUCACCACUCUAGCUCUCGGACGCCAUCAGCGUUGCGUUCAGGAGAGCCUCCUCGCCUUCCCGCACGUGCGGGCCUCCGCCUGGACGUCUCUGAAGCACCGAAGUCCGCGCGCGCCGCUUCUUCUCCAACUCCGACGUUGCUUCCGGUUUCAAGCAAAGCUUUGGAUCCCAGCAAGGGCCCAGGAGGCAGAAAAGGACGCAGCGCCUGCACAUGACAUGUCUACCCACGGACGAUAUUACAGAGAUUUGAUUAGCUUCGGACUUUAAUUGGGCGUCAGUUCCAGACUUCCAGCAGUCUGAGCCCCGGGCCGGGAGGUUUUCUCGUGUUCACGUGGAUCCUGGGCAUCGAACCAAAGGUAUUCCUCAUGCAAUGCUGCAUCACACAUUUUCAAUAAUGAGUUGACCUCGGAAUCUUCAUCAUUGUGUGGCGUGUCUACGACUCUGCUCCCUUGGUUGGUUGUUUCUUGGAGUGGGCGAUUGAAAUCGGCUAGAUGGCAGAGGAGCAGUCAGCUGACAAGUGACAUGGAUUACUCGAGCAGAAGAGAACCCAACGCAAGUUUGCAACGCCAGAUGGAUGAAACGCAUCAAGCGUGCUAAAUCUAGGAUGACAUAUUAGUAGCAGUAGAACAUUUGGUACCGUCGGACCGAUCCUUUUCCUGCCAUUUUUUACAGGAAAGGGUCGGCAUCUGACAUGCGUUACACAUGACAUGAAUACAGAAAUACUUCAGCAGAAAA
Long non-coding RNA from Brachypodium distachyon (stiff brome), 1088 nucleotides. RefSeq lists it as uncharacterized. The record is from RefSeq and is a predicted model, not a curated record. NCBI's taxonomy places the organism in Eukaryota, Viridiplantae, Streptophyta, Magnoliopsida, Poales, Poaceae. The transcript has 2 exons.